UGGGGAAUUUUCCGCAAUGGGCGAAAGCCUGACGGAGCAAUACCGCGUGAGGGAGGAAGGCUUUUGGGUUGUAAACCUCUUUUCUCAAGGAAGAAUACUGACGGCACCUGAGGAAUAAGCAUCGGCUAACUCCGUGCCAGCAGCCGCGGUAAUACGGAGGAUGCAAGCGUUAUCCGGAAUGAUUGGGCGUAAAGCGUCCGCAGGUGGUUAUGCAAGUCUGCUGUUAAAGAGUGGAGCUUAACUCCAUAAGGGCAGUGGAAACUGCGUGACUAGAGUACGUUCGGGGCAGAGGGGAUUCCUGGUGUAGCGGUGAAAUGCGUAGAUAUCAGGAAGAAAACCGGUGGCGAAAGCGCUCUGCUAGGCCGUAACUGACACUGAGGGACGAAAGCUAAGGGAGCGAAUGGGAGUAGAUACCCCCGUAGACC
This 425-nucleotide ribosomal RNA is filed under the name uncultured prokaryote. RNAcentral's name for it is "bacterial SSU rRNA". It matches the Rfam family "Bacterial small subunit ribosomal RNA", at positions 355 to 796 of the family's 1533-position model. The record is from RNAcentral.